This 2906-nucleotide ribosomal RNA is filed under the name Escherichia coli APEC O78. RNAcentral's name for it is "bacterial LSU rRNA". It matches the Rfam family "Bacterial large subunit ribosomal RNA". Lineage: Bacteria; Pseudomonadati; Pseudomonadota; Gammaproteobacteria; Enterobacterales; Enterobacteriaceae. The record is from RNAcentral.
GGUUAAGCGACUAAGCGUACACGGUGGAUGCCCUGGCAGUCAGAGGCGAUGAAGGACGUGCUAAUCUGCGAUAAGCGUCGGUAAGGUGAUAUGAACCGUUAUAACCGGCGAUUUCCGAAUGGGGAAACCCAGUGUGAUUCGUCACACUAUCAUUAACUGAAUCCAUAGGUUAAUGAGGCGAACCGGGGGAACUGAAACAUCUAAGUACCCCGAGGAAAAGAAAUCAACCGAGAUUCCCCCAGUAGCGGCGAGCGAACGGGGAGCAGCCCAGAGCCUGAAUCAGUGUGUGUGUUAGUGGAAGCGUCUGGAAAGGCGCGCGAUACAGGGUGACAGCCCCGUACACAAAAAUGCACAUGCUGUGAGCUCGAUGAGUAGGGCGGGACACGUGGUAUCCUGUCUGAAUAUGGGGGGACCAUCCUCCAAGGCUAAAUACUCCUGACUGACCGAUAGUGAACCAGUACCGUGAGGGAAAGGCGAAAAGAACCCCGGCGAGGGGAGUGAAAAAGAACCUGAAACCGUGUACGUACAAGCAGUGGGAGCACGCUUAGGCGUGUGACUGCGUACCUUUUGUAUAAUGGGUCAGCGACUUAUAUUCUGUAGCAAGGUUAACCGAAUAGGGGAGCCGAAGGGAAACCGAGUCUUAACUGGGCGUUAAGUUGCAGGGUAUAGACCCGAAACCCGGUGAUCUAGCCAUGGGCAGGUUGAAGGUUGGGUAACACUAACUGGAGGACCGAACCGACUAAUGUUGAAAAAUUAGCGGAUGACUUGUGGCUGGGGGUGAAAGGCCAAUCAAACCGGGAGAUAGCUGGUUCUCCCCGAAAGCUAUUUAGGUAGCGCCUCGUGAAUUCAUCUCCGGGGGUAGAGCACUGUUUCGGCAAGGGGGUCAUCCCGACUUACCAACCCGAUGCAAACUGCGAAUACCGGAGAAUGUUAUCACGGGAGACACACGGCGGGUGCUAACGUCCGUCGUGAAGAGGGAAACAACCCAGACCGCCAGCUAAGGUCCCAAAGUCAUGGUUAAGUGGGAAACGAUGUGGGAAGGCCCAGACAGCCAGGAUGUUGGCUUAGAAGCAGCCAUCAUUUAAAGAAAGCGUAAUAGCUCACUGGUCGAGUCGGCCUGCGCGGAAGAUGUAACGGGGCUAAACCAUGCACCGAAGCUGCGGCAGCGACGCUUAUGCGUUGUUGGGUAGGGGAGCGUUCUGUAAGCCUGUGAAGGUGUGCUGUGAGGCAUGCUGGAGGUAUCAGAAGUGCGAAUGCUGACAUAAGUAACGAUAAAGCGGGUGAAAAGCCCGCUCGCCGGAAGACCAAGGGUUCCUGUCCAACGUUAAUCGGGGCAGGGUGAGUCGACCCCUAAGGCGAGGCCGAAAGGCGUAGUCGAUGGGAAACAGGUUAAUAUUCCUGUACUUGGUGUUACUGCGAAGGGGGGACGGAGAAGGCUAUGUUGGCCGGGCGACGGUUGUCCCGGUUUAAGCGUGUAGGCUGGUUUUCCAGGCAAAUCCGGAAAAUCAAGGCUGAGGCGUGAUGACGAGGCACUACGGUGCUGAAGCAACAAAUGCCCUGCUUCCAGGAAAAGCCUCUAAGCAUCAGGUAACAUCAAAUCGUACCCCAAACCGACACAGGUGGUCAGGUAGAGAAUACCAAGGCGCUUGAGAGAACUCGGGUGAAGGAACUAGGCAAAAUGGUGCCGUAACUUCGGGAGAAGGCACGCUGAUAUGUAGGUGAAGUCCCUCGCGGAUGGAGCUGAAAUCAGUCGAAGAUACCAGCUGGCUGCAACUGUUUAUUAAAAACACAGCACUGUGCAAACACGAAAGUGGACGUAUACGGUGUGACGCCUGCCCGGUGCCGGAAGGUUAAUUGAUGGGGUCAGCGCAAGCGAAGCUCUUGAUCGAAGCCCCGGUAAACGGCGGCCGUAACUAUAACGGUCCUAAGGUAGCGAAAUUCCUUGUCGGGUAAGUUCCGACCUGCACGAAUGGCGUAAUGAUGGCCAGGCUGUCUCCACCCGAGACUCAGUGAAAUUGAACUCGCUGUGAAGAUGCAGUGUACCCGCGGCAAGACGGAAAGACCCCGUGAACCUUUACUAUAGCUUGACACUGAACAUUGAGCCUUGAUGUGUAGGAUAGGUGGGAGGCUUAGAAGUGUGGACGCCAGUCUGCAUGGAGCCGACCUUGAAAUACCACCCUUUAAUGUUUGAUGUUCUAACGUUGACCCGUAAUCCGGGUUGCGGACAGUGUCUGGUGGGUAGUUUGACUGGGGCGGUCUCCUCCUAAAGAGUAACGGAGGAGCACGAAGGUUGGCUAAUCCUGGUCGGACAUCAGGAGGUUAGUGCAAUGGCAUAAGCCAGCUUGACUGCGAGCGUGACGGCGCGAGCAGGUGCGAAAGCAGGUCAUAGUGAUCCGGUGGUUCUGAAUGGAAGGGCCAUCGCUCAACGGAUAAAAGGUACUCCGGGGAUAACAGGCUGAUACCGCCCAAGAGUUCAUAUCGACGGCGGUGUUUGGCACCUCGAUGUCGGCUCAUCACAUCCUGGGGCUGAAGUAGGUCCCAAGGGUAUGGCUGUUCGCCAUUUAAAGUGGUACGCGAGCUGGGUUUAGAACGUCGUGAGACAGUUCGGUCCCUAUCUGCCGUGGGCGCUGGAGAACUGAGGGGGGCUGCUCCUAGUACGAGAGGACCGGAGUGGACGCAUCACUGGUGUUCGGGUUGUCAUGCCAAUGGCACUGCCCGGUAGCUAAAUGCGGAAGAGAUAAGUGCUGAAAGCAUCUAAGCACGAAACUUGCCCCGAGAUGAGUUCUCCCUGACUCCUUGAGAGUCCUGAAGGAACGUUGAAGACGACGACGUUGAUAGGCCGGGUGUGUAAGCGCAGCGAUGCGUUGAGCUAACCGGUACUAAUGAACCGUGAGGCUUAACCUUAC